Molecule: transfer RNA, 63 nt
Filed under: Butyrivibrio sp.
Lineage: Bacteria; Bacillati; Bacillota; Clostridia; Lachnospirales; Lachnospiraceae
Description: tRNA-His
Rfam family: tRNA
About the family: Transfer RNA (tRNA) molecules are approximately 80 nucleotides in length.
Source: RNAcentral
GGAUGGCUAGUGGUGAAGCACCGGAUCAUGUAUCCGGAAACGCGGGUCCGAAUCCCGCUCCAA